Molecule: non-coding RNA, 74 nt
Organism: Ameiurus melas (black bullhead)
Lineage: Eukaryota; Metazoa; Chordata; Actinopteri; Siluriformes; Ictaluridae
Source: the annotation of a GenBank genome assembly
GACAGUGGUAGCUCAGUGGUUAAGACAUUGGCCUACUCAUCAAAAGGCCAUGAGUUCAAAUCCCAGCUCUGCCA